RNA transcript from Arabidopsis thaliana (thale cress), 483 nucleotides. RefSeq lists it as uncharacterized. The transcript has a single exon. The record is from RefSeq. NCBI's taxonomy places the organism in Eukaryota, Viridiplantae, Streptophyta, Magnoliopsida, Brassicales, Brassicaceae.
CCUUGGGAAUACUUGAGUUUGGAGGUCUUCAAGCCUUUCUAUGGGAAAGGUUUCCAAUACGUAUUCUGCCGUUGUCGAGCUUAAAAGCGGAUGAUGAUCCCUAAUCAAGAGUUUGGUCCUAGCUUUUCGAUUUCAUUUUGAGUUCUGUCCUCGCAAAGAUAUGAAGGGCGCUUUUCCAGGACGGAUACGGAUACAGGUGACCCCUUUUUCCCCUUUGCUUUCUUUAUUACUUCUCGUACGUGCCCAGUCUCAACGUCACUUCCAAAACCGCCUUUCCCAGAUCUAUGAAAGGUGAAAGGUUGAAGGUCCACAAAAGGUAACAUAAAUGAACAAGUUUAUUUUGUAUUCGAGCUGCUGAGGGCCGGAGCUCGUAUGGAUACAUUACUUCAUUGUUCUAUGAGGCCUUGCACAAAGCCCAUACUCGGAUAAGGAUCGCGAAGUGCAAAGAUCCGGUCUUUGACAACCCAACCGUCGUAAGGACAA